AGCCCAAGAUUGAAAGCUGGCGUCUUCGGCGUCCGCAUUGUAAUCUCAAGAAGUGUUUUCCGCUUCGGACCAUGCCUAAGUCCCUUGGAAAAGGGCAUCAUAGAGGGUGAUAAUCCCGUACAUGGCAUGGAGCGCCCGAAGCUUUGUGAUACGCUUUCUAAGAGUCGAGUUGUUUGGGAAUGCAGCUCAAAAUGGGUGGUAAAUGCCAUCUAAGGCUAAAUAUUGGGGAGAGACCGAUAGCGAACAAGUACAGUGAUGGAAAGAUGAAAAGAACUUUGAAAAGAGAGUUAAACAGUACGUGAAAUUGCCAAAAGGGAAGGGUAGGAGGUCAGAGAUGCGGCCUGGGAUUCAGCCUUGCUUUUGCUUGGUGUUUUUCCCAGAUUGCAGGCCAACGUCGGUUUUGGGCACUGGAGAAGGGUAGGAGGAACGUGGCACCUCUCGGGGUGUGUUAUAGCCUCCUACUGGAUACAGCGACCGAGACCGAGGACAGCAGCGUACUCGCAAGAGCGGGCCUUCGGGCACCUUUACGCUUAGGGCGUUGGCAUAAUGGCCCUCUACCACCCGUCUU
RNAcentral lists this ribosomal RNA (568 nucleotides) under uncultured Pseudozyma. Its description in RNAcentral is "eukaryotic LSU rRNA". It matches the Rfam family "Eukaryotic large subunit ribosomal RNA", at positions 106 to 655 of the family's 3401-position model. The record is from RNAcentral. Lineage: Eukaryota; Fungi; Basidiomycota; Ustilaginomycetes; Ustilaginales; Ustilaginaceae.